UGCCUCAGUAACGGCGAGUGAAGCGGCAACAGCUCAAAUUUGAAAUCUGGCCCCCCGGCCCGAGUUGUAAUUUGCAGAGGAUGCUUCUGGCGCGGUGCCUUCCAAGUCCCCUGGAACGGGGCGCCAUAGAGGGUGAGAGCCCCGUCUGGUUGGCCGCCAAGCCUGUGUGAAGCUCCUUCGACGAGUCGAGUAGUUUGGGAAUGCUGCUCUAAACGGGAGGUAGACCCCUUCUAAAGCUAAAUACCGGCCAGAGACCGAUAGCGCACAAGUAGAGUGAUCGAAAGAUGAAAAGCACUUUGAAAAGAGGGUUAAACAGUACGUGAAAUUGUUGAAAGGGAAGCGCUUGUGACCAGACGUGCGCCGGGUGUUCAGCGGGCGUUUUCGCCCGUGCAUUCGCCCCGGCGCAGGCCAGCGUCGGUUCGGGCGGGGGGAUAAAGGCGUCAGGAACGUAUCUCCCCCGGGAGUGUUAUAGCCUGGCGCGUCAUGCCCCCGCCUGGACCGAGGUUCGCGCUCCGCAAGGACGCUGGCGUAAUGGUCCCCAGCGGCCCGUCUUGAAACACGGACCAAGGAGUCGAGGUUUUACGCGAGUGUCUGGGUGUCAAACCCGCACGCGUAAUGAAAGUGAACGUAGGUGGGAGCUUCGGCGCACCACCGACCGAUCCUGAUGUUUUCGGAUGGAUUUGAGUAGGAGCGUAGGGCCUCGGACCCGAAAGAUGGUGAACUAUACUUGGAUAGGGUGAAGCCAGAGGAAACUCUGGUGGAGGCUCGCAGCGGUUCUGACGUGCAAAUCGAUCGUCAAAUCUGAGUAUGGGGGCGAAAGACUAAUCGAACCAUCUAGUAGCUGG
This 845-nucleotide ribosomal RNA is filed under the name Dictyochaeta sp. RNAcentral describes it as "partial large subunit ribosomal RNA". It matches the Rfam family "Eukaryotic large subunit ribosomal RNA", at positions 76 to 954 of the family's 3401-position model. The record is from RNAcentral. Lineage: Eukaryota; Fungi; Ascomycota; Sordariomycetes; Chaetosphaeriales; Chaetosphaeriaceae.